UUUGAGUUAGUUUAAAUAAAAUGUUAGGAUGUGGGCCUAAAGAAGAGAUUAGUUCUUACUUAAUA
Molecule: transfer RNA, 65 nt
Filed under: Perotrochus quoyanus
Lineage: Eukaryota; Metazoa; Mollusca; Gastropoda; Pleurotomariida; Pleurotomariidae
Also listed under: 1 other name
Description: tRNA-His
Source: RNAcentral